This is a long non-coding RNA of Ailuropoda melanoleuca (giant panda), 205 nucleotides long. RefSeq lists it as uncharacterized. The transcript is spliced from 4 exons. NCBI's taxonomy places the organism in Eukaryota, Metazoa, Chordata, Mammalia, Carnivora, Ursidae. The record is from RefSeq and is a predicted model, not a curated record.
AGCUCCAUCCUGGAACUGUUUCCCAAGUUAUUACUCCUGGACAGCCAGGAGUCACCUUCGCCAACGAGCGUUGGUAUUGCUGCCCACAAGAGGUUACCAACCUGCAAGGGAAGCUUCUUUGGAUCUGAUGCGCUGAAGAGUCUAGUCCUGCGAUUCCUGCAGCAGUACUACUUGAUCUACGACUCUGGAGACCGUCAGGGUCUCC